Glycine soja is the source of this 588-nucleotide long non-coding RNA. RefSeq lists it as uncharacterized. The record is from RefSeq and is a predicted model, not a curated record. The transcript has 2 exons. Lineage: Eukaryota; Viridiplantae; Streptophyta; Magnoliopsida; Fabales; Fabaceae.
AGAGCUGAAAGGUUGAAACUGAAGACGGAAAAUUACACAGGUUGGUUGAUUGGCAAAAGCAUCUAAGCCCAAUUUGAUUUGGUGGAGGCAGGGCCGAACAUUUUGUAAACUUUUUGCCUACGAUAUGGUUUCCGACGGCCUUCAAUAACGUAAGUCUUCUUCUCCCCAUCUCCUUAUCUAAAAGUCAUGUAAGCAUAAUUCAAUUUUGUAGUUGUAAUGGAAAGACUCUUCAAAUUUGAAGUCCGAAUUUCUACGUGGAAAUGGAAUGGAAAGAAACUUGAUGAUUCCAUCGAACAACAACCUGCUGUGCUGUAGAAGUGGUUCUUUGUGUGUUUCUCGCUGCGGGGGACUCAUGUUGCUGGAAAAGCUUUGAUCUUUUAUCCAGUAAAUGUGCUAUACGCUUACAAGAUUAGCAACAGGAAGCAUAUGUGGUCAGCCUAAUUUUAACAUCUGGCCAAUUGGCUGUCAUUACACUUUUUUUGUUUAGAGAUAUAUAUGACCUCAGUUAUUCUUCUUCUCUAGAUUAUUCAAUGUCAAUUUUGGGAGACUUGUUUCCAAUAAUUUAUUUGCUUUUACUUUUCCAUCUGA